Molecule: transfer RNA, 72 nt
Filed under: Ictidomys tridecemlineatus (thirteen-lined ground squirrel)
Lineage: Eukaryota; Metazoa; Chordata; Mammalia; Rodentia; Sciuridae
Also listed under: 1 other name
Description: Spermophilus tridecemlineatus (thirteen-lined ground squirrel) tRNA
Rfam family: tRNA
About the family: Transfer RNA (tRNA) molecules are approximately 80 nucleotides in length. Their secondary structure includes four short double-helical elements and three loops (D, anti-codon, and T loops).
Source: Rfam by way of RNAcentral
GGGGAUGUGAUUCAGUGGUAGAGUGUUUACCUACCAUGCAUGAGGUCCUGGGUUUGAUCCUCAGCACCCACA